Molecule: ribosomal RNA, 305 nt
Filed under: uncultured bacterium
Lineage: Bacteria
Description: bacterial SSU rRNA
Rfam family: Bacterial small subunit ribosomal RNA
Source: RNAcentral
GUUACCUACGGGGGGCAGCAGUGGGGGAUAUUGCACAAUGGGGGGAACCCUGAUGCAGCGACGCCGCGUGGGCGAUGGAGUGCUUCGGCAUGUAAAGCCCUAUCAGCAGGGAAGAAAAUGACGGUACCUGACUAAGAAGCCCCGGCUAAAUACGUGCCAGCAGCCGCGGUAAUACGUAUGGGGCAAGCGUUAUCCGGAUUUACUGGGUGUAAAGGGAGCGUAGAGGGCAGCGCAAGUCUGGAGUGAAAUGCCGGGGCUCAACCCCGGAACUGCUUUGGAAACGGUGCAGCUAGAGUGCGGGAGAG